UAAAGGUCAUAUUUGGUAAGAUGAUGAGUUGAAAUUUUGAUCUUGAUCGCCGUUCUUCAUUCGUGUUUCGCUGUCACUUUCGGAUUUCAUGGAUCUUCUACUCCAUCAUGGUAAGACUUGAUUGAAUCCAUCUAAAGUCAUCCUAGAGCAUCUUGGUAAGUCUCUGAAAGUUUUGAUUCGUUAAAAAUUCAUAAUUCUUGAUUAAUAACGGGUUAGGGUUUAAUCAAUUCGUGUUUUGUGUUACUGUGUAGAACAGUAUGUUUGCGAAUUUCAAAUCUUUAGAUCUACACAUCCAAUUGAACUGAUUCUUGUCACGUUGGUUGUGUAUUGACGUCUAGUAUCUACAGUUAAGAAUUUAGGGCAAUGCAAUAGAUGGAUCUUUGUUAGGUCAAUUUUAGUGACAUAAGACCAAUUUAUCCAGAGCUUAAAAAAUUAGGUUAUUAGCUUCCGCACAAUCAUUCACUCCCAUCUAAUUGAUCUUUCUUUAUAGAGUUAUCAAUCCUACAUCAAGGAAAUAGGAGAAAAAAUAUUGGAGCUAAUCUUGAUAUUAUGUAUCUUUAUAUUUAUUUUCGUCUUGCAUGUAGUUAGUAUAUUUGUGUAGGCCGGUGUGGCUCAGCAUGAAGAGCAUUCAUGGACAUGGAGAGAUGCCGAUGUGCAGUGGGAGGCAUGAAUCGAUGCUGCCGCGUGAAUCGAUGCUGCAUACGAGAGCAAUGGAGCCAACAUAUUGCAUGAAUUAGUCUCUGAGUCAGAUUGUGGAGAAGCUUGUUGAUAUUGUAAUUUUUUUUACAUAAACAAAUCCGGGAUGCAGUCAAUGAAGCUGUUUCUGCAGGAACCGACUUCUUCGAUUCUGAGCAAGCCCAGAACAAAAGGCUGGGUCCCUGUGGUCUGGCACUACAUUAUGCUAACAUUAUCAAUCAGAUUGAAAAUAUAGUUUCUCGGCCACUCUCUCUUUCUCCUAGUGCUAGGGACAAUUUAUACCAUGGUCUGCCAAUAACAGUAAAGUCAGCUCUGCGAUCACGAUUGCAAUCAUUUAAUACCGAUGAAGAG
Long non-coding RNA from Phragmites australis (common reed), 1047 nucleotides. RefSeq lists it as uncharacterized. The record is from RefSeq and is a predicted model, not a curated record. NCBI's taxonomy places the organism in Eukaryota, Viridiplantae, Streptophyta, Magnoliopsida, Poales, Poaceae. The transcript has 4 exons.